Molecule: ribosomal RNA, 498 nt
Filed under: uncultured bacterium
Lineage: Bacteria
Description: bacterial SSU rRNA
Rfam family: Bacterial small subunit ribosomal RNA
Source: RNAcentral
AUUGAACGCUAGCGGCAUGCCUAACACAUGCAAGUCGUACGGUAACAGAUUUUCUUCGGAAAAUGCUGACGAGUGGCGAACGGGUGAGUAAUGCGUGGGAAUCUACCUAAAAGAAGGGAAUAGUUAAUGGAAACAUUAAGUAAUACCCUAUAAUUCUUACGAGACAAAGUAGGGGACUUUAGUAAUAAAGCCUCGCGCUUUUAGAUGAGCCCACGUCAGAUUAGCUAGUUGGUAAGGUAAAUGCUUACCAAGGCAAUGAUCUGUAGCUGAUUUUAGAAGAUGAUCAGCCACACUGGGAUUGAGAUACGGCCCAGACUCCUACGGGAGGCAGCAGUGGGGAAUCUUGGACAAUGGGCGCAAGCCUGAUCCAGCAAUGCCGCGUGUGUGAAGAAGGCCUUAGGGUUGUAAAGCUCUUUCAGCCGGGAAGAAAGCGCACUCUCUAACAUAGGGUGUGGAUGACGGUACCGGAAGAAGAAGCACCGGCUAACUACGUGCCAG